This is a non-coding RNA of Plectropomus leopardus (leopard coralgrouper), 592 nucleotides long. NCBI's taxonomy places the organism in Eukaryota, Metazoa, Chordata, Actinopteri, Perciformes, Serranidae. The record is from RefSeq and is a predicted model, not a curated record.
AGGUGACAGGAAGUCUCUCAUGUUAAGUUUUGGACAGCUGAGACAGAAGUUGAGUUAGUCUUAAACAAAUCUGCAUCAAUCCUGCCUUGCUGCUUCACAGAAGAGCGUUUCCUUUUCAGUCUUUCGAGAACUGAAGGAAACAUCCGAUUAAAGGAGACGGAAAAACCUGUUUCCUGUCAGGAGUUUAUCUGUCAGCACAUCAACAGAGCCGCUCACGGAGAGCAAAUCCAUCAGACCAGCCGAAUCUCAACGUUUAAUGACAUGGAUGACGUGUGCGGCAGCAUGCGUGUGCAGAGCUGCCUGUGUGCUCUGGAUCCUGAAUCUCCAGUAAACUGGACUCUGCUGUGAAGCCUUUGUUUGAAUGCUGCUAAAGCCUGAUUGACAAAGUUUGUGCAGGCAGACGUCCAAACACACAGAGGAUUAAUAAAAACGACAGGAGAUAAAACACAGAGCCUCACACACACACACACACACACACACACAGCAUUAUGUCACUCUUGAUUUGCAUCGCUGCUUUACAAGAAGCAGGUGGUUGUUUCUCUGCAGAUCUAAUAAACGAUAAUAUGUCAGCCGCUGUGACGGUGACCUCCUC